GACGAACGCUGGCGGCGUGCUUAACACAUGCAAGUCGAACGGAAAGGCCUCUUUCGGGGGGUGCUCGAGUGGCGAACGGGUGAGUAACACGUGAGUAACCUGCCCCUGACUUUGGGAUAACUUCAGGAAACUGGGGCUAAUACCGGAUAGGAGCUCCUGCUGCAUGUUGGGGGUUGGAAAGUUUCGGCGGUUGGGGAUGGUCUCGCGGCUUAUCAGCUUGUUGGUGGGGUAGUGGCUUACCAAGGCUUUGACGGGUAGCCGGCCUGAGAGGGUGACCGGCACCAUUGGGACUGAGAUACGGCCCAGACUCCUACGGGUGGGAGAAGUGGGGGAUGUUGAAAAAGGGGUGGAAGCCUGAGGCAGACACGCCGUGGGCGGGAUGACGGUCUUCGGGUUGUAAACCGCUUUCGCUCACGACGAAGCUUUGUGUGACGGUAGUGGGUAAAGAAGCACCGGCUAACUACGUG
RNAcentral lists this ribosomal RNA (467 nucleotides) under uncultured bacterium. RNAcentral's name for it is "partial 16S ribosomal RNA". It matches the Rfam family "Bacterial small subunit ribosomal RNA", at positions 28 to 507 of the family's 1533-position model. The record is from RNAcentral.